GUCGAACGGCAGCGCGGGAGCAAUCCUGGCGGCGAGUGGCGAACGGGUGAGUAAUACAUCGGAACGUGCCCAAUCGUGGGGGAUAACGCAGCGAAAGCUGUGCUAAUACCGCAUACGAUCUACGGAUGAAAGCAGGGGAUCGCAAGACCUUGCGCGAAUGGAGCGGCCGAUGGCAGAUUAGGUAGUUGGUGAGGUAAAGGCUCACCAAGCCUUCGAUCUGUAGCUGGUCUGAGAGGACGACCAGCCACACUGGGACUGAGACACGGCCCAGACUCCUACGGGAGGCAGCAGUGGGGAAUUUUGGACAAUGGGCGAAAGCCUGAUCCAGCCAUGCCGCGUGCAGGAUGAAGGCCUUCGGGUUGUAAACUGCUUUUGUACGGAACGAAACGGCCUUUUCUAAUAAAGAGGGCUAAUGACGGUACCGUAAGAAUAAGCACCGGCUAACUACGUGCCAGCAGCCGCGGUAAUACGUAGGGUGCAAGCGUUAAUCGGAAUUACUGGGCGUAAAGCGUGCGCAGGCGGUAAUGUAAGACAGUUGUGAAAUCCCCGGGCUCAACCUGGGAACUGCAUCUGUGACUGCAUUGCUGGAGUACGGCAGAGGGGGAUGGAAUUCCGCGUGUAGCAGUGAAAUGCGUAGAUAUGCGGAGGAACACCGAUGGCGAAGGCAAUCCCCUGGGCCUGUACUGACGCUCAUGCACGAA
This 701-nucleotide ribosomal RNA is filed under the name Variovorax sp. Its description in RNAcentral is "bacterial SSU rRNA". It matches the Rfam family "Bacterial small subunit ribosomal RNA", at positions 61 to 757 of the family's 1533-position model. The record is from RNAcentral. Lineage: Bacteria; Pseudomonadati; Pseudomonadota; Betaproteobacteria; Burkholderiales; Comamonadaceae.